AAGGGUGAAAUCAAUUAUGUUUAAAAAUGAAAUUAACUUGACUUGAGGCUGAUUUUUUUAGAGUUGGACUAGGAUUAGAUACCCUAUUACACUAAAAGGUAAAAUAUAUAAUAACCUAAUUAUUUAUAGAUAUGUUCUUGAAAUUUGAAGAAUUUGGCGGUAAUUUAGUCUUGUCAGAGGAAUUUGUUUUUUAAUCGAUAAACCACGUAAAAUCUUGCUUGAGCUUAUAUACCAUCAUUAACAGAUAAUCUUAAAAGAAAGAUAAUUAUUAAGAUUUAUAGACAAUUAAAAUUAGAUCAAGGUGUAGCUAAUAAAUGAGUUAAAAUGAAUUACAAUAAAUUUUAUUUAUACGGAUUAAUUAAGAUAAAGGUGGAUUUGAUUGUAAUGUAAGUUUAAUAAGCUUUAAAGAUAUAAGUUCUAAAUUAUGUACAUAUCGCCCGUCGCUUUC
Molecule: ribosomal RNA, 448 nt
Filed under: Pilumnus vespertilio
Lineage: Eukaryota; Metazoa; Arthropoda; Malacostraca; Decapoda; Pilumnidae
Description: partial 12S small subunit ribosomal RNA
Source: RNAcentral